GACGAACGCUGGCGGCGUGCUUAACACAUGCAAGUCGAACGGAAAGGCCCUGCUUUUGUGGGGUGCUCGAGUGGCGAACGGGUGAGUAACACGUGAGUAACCUGCCCUUGACUUUGGGAUAACUUCAGGAAACUGGGGCUAAUACCGGAUAGGAGCUCCUGCUGCAUGGUGGGGGUUGGAAAGUUUCGGCGGUUGGGGAUGGACUCGCGGCUUAUCAGCUUGUUGGUGGGGUAGUGGCUUACCAAGGCUUUGACGGGUAGCCGGCCUGAGAGGGUGACCGGCCGCCCUGGGAGUGGGACACGGCCCAGAGGCCUAGGGGAGGCACCCGUGGGGAAUCGGGGGCAAGGGGCGGAAGACUGAGCCAGCCGGGCGGAGUGCGUGAAGAAGGCCCCCGGGUGGGAAAGCCCGGUUUUUGGGUUAGAAAACCAGUAGGCUUAUACCGAGCUGUUGUGACGGUAACUAAAGAAAAAGCCCCGGCUAACUUCGUG
RNAcentral lists this ribosomal RNA (488 nucleotides) under uncultured bacterium. RNAcentral describes it as "partial 16S ribosomal RNA". It matches the Rfam family "Bacterial small subunit ribosomal RNA", at positions 28 to 507 of the family's 1533-position model. The record is from RNAcentral.